This 425-nucleotide ribosomal RNA is filed under the name uncultured bacterium. RNAcentral's name for it is "bacterial SSU rRNA". It matches the Rfam family "Bacterial small subunit ribosomal RNA", at positions 355 to 771 of the family's 1533-position model. The record is from RNAcentral.
UGGGGAAUUUUGCGCAAUGGGGGAAACCCUGACGCAGCAACGCCGCGUGAGUGAUGAAGGCCUUCGGGUCGUAAAGCUCUGACAGAGGGGAAGAAGUGAACUGGUGCUAAUAUCAUUGGUUCUUGACGGUACCCUCAAAGGAAGCACCGGCUAACUCCGUGCCAGCAGCCGCGGUAAUACGGAGGGUGCGAGCGUUGUUCGGAAUUAUUGGGCGUAAAGCGCGUGUAGGCGGCUUGCCAAGUCCGAUGUGAAAGCCCCGGGCUCAACCCGGGAAGUGCAUUGGAAACUGGCAGGCUUGAAUACGGGAGAGGGUAGUGGAAUUCCUGGUGUAGGAGUGAAAUCCGUAGAUAUCAGGAGGAACACCGGUGGCGAAGGCGGCUGCCUGGACCGAUAUUGACGCUGAGACGCGAAAGCGUGGGGAGCAA